GGUAAAAUGGCUGAUAAAGGCGAUAAAUUGUAAAUUUAUUUAUGAGAAUUUAAAUCUUUUGCU
RNAcentral lists this transfer RNA (63 nucleotides) under Ornithodoros phacochoerus. RNAcentral describes it as "tRNA-Tyr". Lineage: Eukaryota; Metazoa; Arthropoda; Arachnida; Ixodida; Argasidae. The record is from RNAcentral.